GAUGAACGCUGGCGGCGUGCUUAACACAUGCAAGUCGAACGAUGAAGCUCAGCUUGCUGGGUGGAUUAGUGGCGAACGGGUGAGUAACACGUGAGUAACCUGCCCUUAACUCUGGGAUAAGCCUGGGAAACUAGGUCUAAUACCGGAUAGGAGCGCCUACCGCAUGGUGGGUGUUGGAAAGAUUUAUCGGUUUUGGAUGGACUCGCGGCCUAUCAGCUUGUUGGUGAGGUAAUGGCUCACCAAGGCGACGACGGGUAGCCGGCCUGAGAGGGUGACCGGCCACACUGGGACUGAGACACGGCCCAGACUCCUACGGGAGGCAGAAGUGGGGAAUAUUGCACAAUGGGCGAAAGCCUGAUGCAGCGACGCCGCGUGAGGGAUGACGGCCUUCGGGUUGUAAACCUCUUUCGGUAGGGAAGAAGCGAAAGUGACGGUACCUGCAGAAGAAGCACCGGCUAACUACGUG
RNAcentral lists this ribosomal RNA (466 nucleotides) under uncultured bacterium. Its description in RNAcentral is "partial 16S ribosomal RNA". It matches the Rfam family "Bacterial small subunit ribosomal RNA", at positions 28 to 507 of the family's 1533-position model. The record is from RNAcentral.